RNAcentral lists this ribosomal RNA (471 nucleotides) under uncultured bacterium. RNAcentral's name for it is "bacterial SSU rRNA". It matches the Rfam family "Bacterial small subunit ribosomal RNA", at positions 28 to 505 of the family's 1533-position model. The record is from RNAcentral.
GAUGAACGCUGGCGGUGUGCUUUAGGUAUGCAAGUCGAGCGGGUUCCUUUCGAGGAACCAGCGGCAGACGGGUGAGUAACGCGUAGGAAUCUUCCUUUUGGUGGGGAAUAGCCUCGAGAAAUCGGGGGUAAUACCGCAUAAGUUAGACAUCCUUUGGAUGUCUAGGAAAGGCCAUAACUGGUCGCCGAAAGAUGAGCCUGCGUCCUAUCAGCUUGUUGGUGAGGUAAUGGCUCACCAAGGCUUUGACGGGUAGCUGGACUGAGAGGUCGGUCAGCCACAAUGGGACUGCGACACGGCCCAUACAUCUACGGAUGGCAGCAACCGGGAAUAUUGCGCAAUGGACGAAAGUCUGACGCAGCGACACCGCGUGGGGGAUGAAGGCCUUCGGGUUGUAAACCUCUUUUAUAAGGGAAGAAGUGGUUCUUUAUGAACCAUUGACGGUACCUUUUGAAUAAGCACCGGCUAACUACG